GAACGCAUAUUGCGCUCUUUGGUAUUCCGAAGAGCAUGCUUGUUUGAGUAUCAGUAAUAAACCUCAACCAAAAUAUUAUUUUUUGGAUGGAUUUGAGCAAUCUCAAUAUCAUUUUUUUUUUAAAAAUGAGUGCGAGUUGCUUUAAAUUUUGGUUUAGUCAAUUUGAAAUACAAUGGACUUGCUAAACAUAUCUUAAUUAAUCUUUCUAAGAUUAUUAUUUCUGUGAAGCUUGAUUAUUGGUUAAUAUUUCUUAUCAGGCUAACUGAUGCAGUAACUACGAAAGAUGUCAAAAGUCUUUUGUUAACUCGAUCUCAAAUCAAGUAAGACUACCCGCUGAACUUAAG
This 344-nucleotide unclassified non-coding RNA is filed under the name uncultured fungus. RNAcentral describes it as "sequence contains 5.8S rRNA gene". The stretch from base 1 to 53 matches the Rfam family "5.8S ribosomal RNA", at positions 102 to 154 of the family's 154-position model. Lineage: Eukaryota; Fungi. The record is from RNAcentral.